RNAcentral lists this ribosomal RNA (2136 nucleotides) under marine metagenome. RNAcentral's name for it is "bacterial LSU rRNA". It matches the Rfam family "Bacterial large subunit ribosomal RNA", at positions 1 to 2066 of the family's 2925-position model. The record is from RNAcentral.
UAAAGCUACUAAGAGCGUAUGGAGGAUGCCUAGGCACAUGGAGGCGAUGAAGGACGUGGUAAGCUGCGAUAAGCUUCGGGUAGGUGCAAACAACCUUAAAUCCGGAGAUUUCCGAAUGGGAAAACCCAGCCCGGGUUAUGCCGGGUUACUCCCACCUGAAUAUAUAGGGUGGGUAGAGCCAACGGGGAGAACUGACACAUCUAAGUACCCCCAGGAAGAGAAAAUACUAAUGAUUUCCCUAGUAGCGGCGAGCGAACAGGAAAGAGCCUAAACCGUUAACGUGUCAAGCCCAAGAGCGUUGCGCUAACGGUGUUGUGGGACUGGAAUAGAGUCAAUCUUGGACGACUCGACAAGUCAAAAAAUCAAUCGUUAGAUGAAGUGGUAUGGAAAGACCAGCCAUAGAAGGUGAUAGCCCUGUAAUCAAAAACGAGCGAUCUUGUUGAUUCCAGAUCCCGAGUAACACGGAACACGAGAAAUUUUGUGUGAAUCUGCCGGGACCAUCCGGUAAGGCUAAAUACUCCCAUGUGACCGAUAGUGAACUAGUACCGUGAGGGAAAGGUGAAAAGUACUCCUAGCGGAGAGUGAAAUAGAACCUGAAACCGUGCGCUUACAAGCGGUCGGAGCUCCGAUUCGUCGGGGUGACGGCGUGCCUUUUGCAUAAUGAUCCAGCGAGUUGCUCGUAUGUUGCGAGGUUAAGAUCCAAAGAUCGAAGCCAUAGGGAAACCGAGUCUGAAUAGGGCGUUUAGUAGCAUGCGGCAGACCCGAAACCGAGUGAUCUAGCCAUGGCCAGGUUGAAGUUCCGGUAACACGGAAUGGAGGACCGAACCCACCAGCGUUGAAAAGCUGGGGGAUGAGCUGUGGCUAGGGGUGAAAGGCCAAUCAAACUCGGAGAUAUCUGGUUCUCGUCGAAAUGCCUUUAGGGGCAGCGUUGUAUUAAUGUAUCGGGGGUAGAGCACUGAAUGGGCUAGGGGGCCUACAAGCUUACCAACCCCAAUUAAACUCCGAAUACCGAAUACAUGAUGUACAGCAGUGAGGCUACGGGUGAUAAGAUUCGUAGCCGAGAGGGAAACAACCCAGACCAUCAGCUAAGGUCCCUAAAUUGAUACUAAGUGAUAAAGGAUGUGGAAUCGCCCAGACAGCUAGGAGGUUGGCUUAGAAGCAGCCAUCCUUUAAAGAAAGCGUAAUAGCUCACUAGUCAAGGGGUUCUGCGCCGAUAAUUUCCGGGACUAAGUAUCAUACCGAAGCUAUGGGAUUCAUUCGAUUAGAAUGGAUCGGUAGACGAGCGUUCUAUUAACCUGCGAAGGUUGACCCGUGAGGGCAGCUGGAGGAGAUAGAAAUGAGUAUGCUGGAAUGAGUAGCGAUAAAGCCUGUGAAAUACAGGCUCGCCGUAAGCCCAAGGUUUCCUGAGUAAAGUUAAUCUGCUCAGGGUUAGUCGGACCCUAAGCCGAGGCCGAAAGGCGUAGGCGAUGGAAAACAGGUUUAAUAUUCCUGUACCAGUUUAAUAUUGUUUGAACUAUGGGGGGACGCAGAAGUGAAAGGAGAUCCCGGUUUUGAUUGUCCGGGUUUAAGUGUGUAGGGAGUUCUGGUAGGUAAAUCCGCCGGAACAUUAUCCUGAGGCACGAACAGGAGGGCCUAGCCCAUAAACUCUCCCUAAUCAUGCUGCCAAGAAAAUCCUCUAUGUUAGAUAUUAGACUGACCGUACCGUAAACGGACACACGUAGGCGAGGAGAGAAUCCUAAGGCGCUUGAGAGAAUCCAAGUAAAGGAACUCGGCAAAUUAGCCCCGUAACUUCGGGAGAAGGGGUGCCACUUGAGGAAACGGACUUCGCGUCCUGAUUUUUGAGUGGUCGCAGUGACCAGGCCCAAACGACUGUUUAACAAAAACACAGGUCUCUGCUAAGUCGUAAGACGAAAUAUAGGGACUGACACCUGCCCGGUGCUGGAAGGUUAAAUGGAGAGGUUAGCUUCGGCGAAGCUUUGAAAUGAAGCCCCAGUAAACGGCGGCCGUAACUAUAACGGUCCUAAGGUAGCGAAAUUCCUUGUCGGGUAAGUUCCGACCUGCAUGAAUGGCGUAACGAUUUCUCCGCUGUCUCCAACAUCAACUCAGUGAAAUUGAAUUCUCCGUGAAGAUGCGGAG